Myotis brandtii (Brandt's bat) is the source of this 296-nucleotide long non-coding RNA. RefSeq lists it as uncharacterized. The record is from RefSeq and is a predicted model, not a curated record. The transcript is spliced from 2 exons. NCBI's taxonomy places the organism in Eukaryota, Metazoa, Chordata, Mammalia, Chiroptera, Vespertilionidae.
GCUUAAAAUUUUUGUUUUUGUUUAUACUGUAAUUGCUGCUUGUAUUUUUAGGUAUGCUGAAGUUGUUGGUCUCAGGGAGUGCUGACACAUUGAAAGCCUGUGGGAGAGGAAAUUUCAAGAUGGACUUUCACCUGAAGUAUAACCUGAACAGGACCCUUUAAGAAGCAUUCAGAGCUACAUUUUGUAGCAUCAGUGCACGUGUGAAGCUAAGCAUGACCUAUUUCUGGGACCAUCUUUAGGAGAGCUAGAGGUCAAGAGUUGAAUAUAAGAAUGGAAUAAAGUAAAUGAUGGAGUUA